GCCGAGAUGGCGGAAUUGGUAGACGCGCCGGAUUCAAAAUCCGGUUCUCGCAAGGGAGUGAGGGUUCGAUUCCCUCUCUCGGCA
RNAcentral lists this transfer RNA (84 nucleotides) under Bdellovibrionales bacterium. RNAcentral describes it as "tRNA-Leu". It matches the Rfam family "tRNA". From Rfam's summary of the family: Transfer RNA (tRNA) molecules are approximately 80 nucleotides in length. The record is from RNAcentral. Lineage: Bacteria; Pseudomonadati; Bdellovibrionota; Bdellovibrionia; Bdellovibrionales.